Canis lupus familiaris (dog) is the source of this 542-nucleotide long non-coding RNA. RefSeq lists it as uncharacterized. The record is from RefSeq and is a predicted model, not a curated record. Lineage: Eukaryota; Metazoa; Chordata; Mammalia; Carnivora; Canidae. The transcript has 2 exons.
UUCUGAUCAGUAUAAUUCUCUACACUUACACCAGGUCCAUUAACAGAAGCAAACUCUCUACUCUUGGUAAGAAGGAUUUGCUUCCUGAAAUCUAGUCCCCCAGAGUCCUGCUUUGGAGUCUGGAGCAAUACUCCCAUAUAGAAAGAAUGAGUGGCUGCCUCAUGGAUGCCUGAGGGAGAUCAUGUUAUUUAUAGUAGCCUGGUUAUAAACAGAUUGAGAGAUACAACCUGUGUCACUAAGUAUCUGAAAAAAAACAAAAAAAACAAAAAACCAAACAACAACAACAACAACAAAAAAAACGGGCAUAGCAGGAUAGAGGAGGCUGUUUUGCUUCUGGCAAUCCACUUAUCUUCCCGUACAUGUUGGUGACAGUGGAUCAUCUGGCUACCUGCUUGAGUGUCUCAGUUGAAGAAUCUGCAUAUUUGAGCUCUUCUACAAUCUGAUUAUUUGCCUUCUUAAGAACAGAGCUGCUAAAAACAAUGUCAUGCUUAAAUUCACACUAAGAGCGAUGACUGAAUAAACUCUUCCUUAUCUAUUUUAAA